This 494-nucleotide ribosomal RNA is filed under the name uncultured bacterium. Its description in RNAcentral is "partial 16S ribosomal RNA". It matches the Rfam family "Bacterial small subunit ribosomal RNA", at positions 28 to 507 of the family's 1533-position model. The record is from RNAcentral.
GACGAACGCUGGCGGCGCGCUUAACACAUGCAAGUCGAACGGAAAGGCCUGCUUUCCCUUGUGGAUUGCGGGUACUCGAGUGGCGAACGGGUGAGUAACACGUGAGUGAUCUGCCCCCAACUUGGGUAUAAGCCUGGGAAACUGGGUCUAAUUCCCGAUAGGACUGCAGGGUGGUGCCUGUGGUGGAAAACGAUUUUCUAGUGGUUGGGGAUGAGCUCGCGGCCUAUCAGCUUGUUGGUGGGGUAAUGGCCUACCAAGGCGGCGACGGGUAGCCGGCCUGAGAGGGUGGACGGCCACAUUGGGACUGAGAUACGGCCCAGACUCCUACGGGAGGCAGCAGUGGGGAAUAUUGCACAACGGGCGGAAGCCUGAUGCAGCGACGCCGCGUGGGGGAUGACGGCCUUCGGGUGGUAAACUCCUUUCGACCGCGAGGAAGCCACCUGGUUGGAAGGGUGGUGACGGUAGUGGUAGAAGAAGCACCGGCUAACUACGUG